CAGCAGCCGCGGUAAUACGAAGGGUGCAAGCGCUACUCGGAAUUACUGGGCGUAAAGCGUGCGUAGGUGGUGGUUUAAGUCCGUUGUGAAAGCCCUGGGCUCAACCUGGGAAUUGCAGUGGAUACUGGGUCACUAGAGUGUGGUAGAGGAUAGUGGAAUUUCCGGUGUAGCAGUGAAAUGCGUAGAGAUCGGAAGGAACAUCUGUGGCGAAAGCACUCUGCUGGGCCGACACUGACACUGAGAGACGAAAGCUAGGGGAGCAAAUGGGAUUAGAUACCCGCGUAGUCCCUGUCUCUUAUAC
RNAcentral lists this ribosomal RNA (301 nucleotides) under uncultured bacterium. RNAcentral describes it as "partial 16S ribosomal RNA". It matches the Rfam family "Bacterial small subunit ribosomal RNA", at positions 509 to 807 of the family's 1533-position model. The record is from RNAcentral.